GAGAAGGAAGAGCCCCGGAAGGACAGGUAAGUCCCCCAACAUUCUUCUUGUUUAUAUAAUACAUAUAUAAUUGUAUUAUAAUUGACACCGCCUUUAUAACGCUUCCAUUAAAGCCAACUGGAAUUAAUGCAAGAAAUGGCAUAGCCUUUCCUUUGUGUCAACUAUUUCUUUUGUGGAGCUGAUUAUAGAAAGGCUAGAAUUAAGAAACUGGGGCAGAAGGAUCAACUGUCUGUAAGGACAGCCAAGGAUCCCAGAUCAGAGGGAUUCCCAAACAUACACAAAGGAUUGUAUGCAGAUGGCUGCUUAGCAGAGUAGCCCAGCACAAAUGGUACAUCACAGCCACUGUUGACCCAGACCUCAAAUGAUGCUGAAAAUCCCUGCAGUUCCUGUCGUAUGUGUUUCUGACCAUGGGUACACCAAUGAGUCAAUCCACAUGGUUUUGGAGCUCCUCUAUUCUAA
This 459-nucleotide long non-coding RNA is filed under the name Mus musculus (house mouse). Its description in RNAcentral is "long non-coding RNA chr2:74631839-74632298". Lineage: Eukaryota; Metazoa; Chordata; Mammalia; Rodentia; Muridae. The record is from RNAcentral.